GACGAACGCUGGCGGCGUGCCUAAUACAUGCAAGUAGAACGCACAGUUUAUACCGUAGCUUGCUACACCAUAAACUGUGAGUUGCGAACGGGUGAGUAACGCGUAGGUAACCUGCCUGGUAGCGGGGGAUAACUAUUGGAAACGAUAGCUAAUACCGCAUAAUAUUGAUUAUUGCAUGAUAAUUGAUUGAAAGAUGCUAUUGCAUCACUACCAGAUGGACCUGCGUUGUAUUAGCUAGUAGGUGAGGUAACGGCUCACCUAGGCGACGAUACAUAGCCGACCUGAGAGGGUGAUCGGCCAAACUGGGACUGAGACACGGCCCAGACUCCUACGGGAGGCAGCAGUAGGGAAUCUUCGGCAAUGGACGAAAGUCUGACCGAGCAACGCCGCGUGAGUGAAGAAGGUUUUCGGAUCGUAAAGCUCUGUUGUAAGAGAAGAACGGGUGUGAGAGUGGAAAGUUCACACUGUGACGGUAUCUUACCAGAAAGGGACGGCUAACUACGUG
RNAcentral lists this ribosomal RNA (505 nucleotides) under uncultured bacterium. RNAcentral's name for it is "partial 16S ribosomal RNA". It matches the Rfam family "Bacterial small subunit ribosomal RNA", at positions 28 to 507 of the family's 1533-position model. The record is from RNAcentral.